This 419-nucleotide ribosomal RNA is filed under the name bacterium. RNAcentral describes it as "partial 16S ribosomal RNA". It matches the Rfam family "Bacterial small subunit ribosomal RNA", at positions 355 to 776 of the family's 1533-position model. The record is from RNAcentral.
UGGGGGAUAUUGCACAAUGGGCGAAAGCCUGAUGCAGCGACGCCGCGUGGGGGAUGAAGGCCUUCGGGUUGUAAACUUCUUUUGCUCUGAACAAGGCAUGCUAAUGGGUGUGUUGAGUGUAGGGGUUGAUUAGCGCCGGCUAACUACGUGCCAGCAGCCGCGGUAAUACGUAGGGCGCGAGCGUUGUCCGGAAUUAUUGGGCGUAAAGGGCUUGUAGGUGGCUGGUUGCGUCUGCCGUGAAAGCUCAUGGCUUAACUGUGGGUUUGCGGUGGGUACGGGCUGGCUUGAGUGCAGUAGGGGAGGCUGGAAUUCCUGGUGUAGCGGUGGAAUGCGCAGAUAUCAGGAGGAAUACCGGUGGCGAAGGCGGGUCUCUGGGCUGUUACUGACACUGAGGAGCGAAAGCAUGGGGAGCGAACAAG